GAUGAAGAACGUAGCGAAAUGCGAUAAGUAAUGUGAAUUGCAGAAUUCAGUGAAUCAUCGAAUCUUUGAACGCACAUUGCGCCCGCCAGUAUUCUGGCGGGCAUGCCUGCCCGAGCGUCAUUUCAACCAUCAAGCCCCGGGCUUGUGUUGGGGACCUGCGUCCGACGCAGGCCCCGAAAACCAGUGGCGGGCUCGCUGUCCACACCGAGCGUAGUAGCUAACCUCGCUCCGGAGUGGCGCGGGCGCCUGCCGUAAAACCCCCCAAUUUUACAAGGUUGACCUCGGAUCAGGUAGGAAUACCCGCUGAACUUAAGCAUAUCAAUAAGCGGAGGA
Molecule: unclassified non-coding RNA, 333 nt
Filed under: soil metagenome
Description: partial contains 5.8S ribosomal RNA, internal transcribed spacer 2, and large subunit ribosomal RNA
Rfam family: 5.8S ribosomal RNA (bases 1-120)
Source: RNAcentral